AGAGUUGAUCAUGGCUCAGGACGAACGCUGGCGGCGUGCCUAACACAUGCAAGUCGAGCGAGGAGAUUCCUUCGGGAUGAUCCUAGCGGCGGACGGGUGAGUAACACGUGGGCAACCUGCCUCAUAGAGAGGAAUAGCCUUCCGAAAGGGAGAUUAAUACCUCAUAACAUUGCAGUUUCGCAUGGAACAGCAAUUAAAGGAGUAAUCCGCUAUGAGAUGGGCCCGCGGCGCAUUAGCUAGUUGGUGAGGUAACGGCUCACCAAGGCGACGAUGCGUAGCCGACCUGAGAGGGUGAUCGGCCACAUUGGGACUGAGACACGGCCCAGACUCCUACGGGAGGCAGCAGUGGGGAAUAUUGCACAAUGGGGGAAACCCUGAUGCCAGCAACGCCGCGUGAGUGAUGACGGCCUUCGGGUUGUAAAGCUCUGUCUUCAGGGACGAUAAUGACGGUACCUGAGGAGGAAGCCACGGCUAACUACGUGCCAGCCGCGGC
RNAcentral lists this ribosomal RNA (493 nucleotides) under uncultured bacterium. RNAcentral describes it as "bacterial SSU rRNA". It matches the Rfam family "Bacterial small subunit ribosomal RNA", at positions 8 to 518 of the family's 1533-position model. The record is from RNAcentral.